AAGCUCUAUCACUCUUACACCUCUCUUCAAUGCAUUUAUGAUUGGGAUAUCACUGCAAUCGCUGCUAAGUUGGUUUCCAGUUAGGUAGGAAUUGUGACCAGUAUAUAUGAAAUAGUGGGAUAAUGGUUUUGUCAUAUCGUGGUGAACCUGGUCAACUUGGCAAUGUGAAGCCUCUUGUUCAAAAUCUGCUCCACGAUCUUCUCAGCGUCGGCGGUGGACGCAGUGGAAUCACCCUGGACAUCGGCCAAGAAAUUCCGGAGCUGCUCGGCCGUCAUGUGGGCGGCGCCGUCAGUGUACUUCUUGAAGAGAUCCUUGACGUCCGGAGGCGGCCCUGCCUCUACGACUUUAAACUUCCUAAUGAAGCACACACACAUUCUAUAAUUACCCAUUUCCAGAGCGAGAUGAAAGAGACAAAGAUCAGUCGUUUGAGGUGAGAGAGUGUUUGAGCUUCUUAAUCUGUGCGAGGUGCGAUGUUUUGUUGAACGCUUGACCUUCCCGCUCUUUUCUUCAUUAAUUAAUGAAUGAUGAUU
RNAcentral lists this unclassified non-coding RNA (530 nucleotides) under Hevea brasiliensis (rubber tree). Lineage: Eukaryota; Viridiplantae; Streptophyta; Magnoliopsida; Malpighiales; Euphorbiaceae. The record is from RNAcentral.